RNAcentral lists this long non-coding RNA (374 nucleotides) under Hordeum vulgare. RNAcentral's name for it is "long non-coding RNA (HVUL_LNC011568)". Lineage: Eukaryota; Viridiplantae; Streptophyta; Magnoliopsida; Poales; Poaceae. The record is from RNAcentral.
CCGUGAUAGAGAGUACAUGAAGGUUCACGAUUCUCCCGCUGGCCACUGCCACAUAGAAAUUUCCGGUCGGCUCUCGAUGCUACCGUACAAGCUAUUUCACCGCACAAGCACUGGUACACACGAUGUGUGUGUGUGUGUGAGAGAAAGAGUGGAAAAAGCGCAUGCAGCAGUGCAACAUCGGUAAAGGGUGAAAUGUUUACUUGAAGGUAAUUUAUUUACUAUGAAUAAUCAGCUGCUUAAUACCAGUAUUGAUUGGUCCGGCUACUUAUCAGAUUAUGAACACAAGUAUUUUGAGUCGAUGACAGCACUUGCUACGCUUACAAUUGCCGACAGUCACAAGUAAAGUAAAAGCUUAAUAAGUAUUAUAAUUAAAU